This 1069-nucleotide long non-coding RNA is filed under the name Carassius auratus (goldfish). RNAcentral describes it as "lncRNA (ENSCARG00000006618.1)". The record is from RNAcentral. Lineage: Eukaryota; Metazoa; Chordata; Actinopteri; Cypriniformes; Cyprinidae.
ACAAUUGCUGUCUGCAGCUUUUUAUUUAUUUAUUUUGAAAGUUUGAAAGAAAUUGAAAGUUAUUCACAAUGAAUUUUGGUUGCUGCACGAAACUGGUAUAAGUUAGCAACAGCAACUAAGGUUGGUCAUUUUUUUUGCAAAAUAAACCCAGUUCAGGAUGAUCGGAACACAGAAGCAUAUCUUAAAUUGAAAAUUGAUGGUUCGUUUCAAGAUCUUAUUGAAAUGCACCCUCCUCCAUUUUCUUUAAUCUAGCAAUGAUUCUGCAUGACACAUUUGUUCUUAAUGGAAAGGCGUCUUAAAGACAAACAUGGAUUGAGGAAGACAAAAAGCUACAGGAGGUGCUCUGUAACCUAUUGGUUCCAGGACCGGCCUCUCUGAACUCUUUCUGUGACCCCAAUUUCAUCCUAUGUCCAUGGUCUCUUUGGACGCUGCAGUCACCCGUAAUUGGUUUUGACAUUCUGUGUUUCGCAGUGUGUGUGAACAAGCUGUCUUUGGUGUACCAUGUCCAUGAGGUUCAUGGGAAGAAGCUAGCAAAGCCCUGCCCAAAUCUAAGCUUCCCCCUCCUCUUGUCUCCUCCUCUCCGGUCUAGAUCCAUUGGCUGGCAUCUCUGUGGUGGAAUGCUGCUGGGACCCCCUUCUAACCUCCUCUCAACCCUCCCCUUGAGUCCACCCAUCCACCCAUUAGGAAUUCCAGCAGGGCACUGUGGGUGGGAUGAAUGGCAUGAGAGCCAAGGAAAUGAAACAGAACUGUACAGUAUCUCUCUCUUAUUCUGUUUGGGAGUGGGUGAAGAGAGCAAGAGGGGCCCUAAAUCAAAUAAACAUCACAGCCCUGAUUGCUUCAUCUCUGCUUUCCAAGAAAACCAGACAUCCAGGCUGAGAAUAAACUCUAUUUGCAUUGUCUCUUCCGGCCGUGGACCUCUAAGUGUAUUUUAUUGAAUCCGGUCUCAUUAGAGAGCUGGACCAGCAGAGAUGAUGCUGCUGUAGACAGCACUCAACUAUAGCACUUAUAUCCAGAGAGAUAUAUAUGAACACUACACUGUGUUUUGGACCCAUAAUGGAUUCUUCCCCAC